This 299-nucleotide long non-coding RNA is filed under the name Gallus gallus (chicken). The record is from RNAcentral. Lineage: Eukaryota; Metazoa; Chordata; Aves; Galliformes; Phasianidae.
UUUACCAUCACUCUGAGCGUUUUGUCACUUGGUUACUUCUGCAGGGUGUAAUGCCAAACUGCUUUAGGAAUCCCCAGGCUGACUCUGAGGAGGCUUGCACCUAUACAGUUUACUCAGUGAGCUCAAAGUCUCUGCAGCACCCUGUCUUGUGGGAGAGGUGCAAGCAUGCUAUGUCCCACGCUCAUUGUGCUUCCCCUGGGUGGUAUAAAAUAUAAGCAAAUGUUGCAUGGCAGUCGGACAAUGAACAUCAGUGAACAUGUAGAAUUUCACUAAACUAGCAGUGAUUCAUAUGGUCUUCC